UACGUAGGGGGCUAGCGUUGUCCGGAAUCAUUGGGCGUAAAGCGCGCGUAGGCGGCCAGAUAAGUCCGGUGUGAAAGUCACAGGCUCAACCUGUGAAUGCCGCUGGAAACUGCCUGGCUUGAGUCCGGAAGGGGCGAGUGGAAUUCCUGGUGUAGCGGUGAAAUGCGCAGAUAUCAGGAGGAACACCAAUGGCGAAGGCAGCUCGCUGGACGAGAUCCGACGCUCAGGCUCGAAAGUAUGGGGAGCAAAAAGG
RNAcentral lists this ribosomal RNA (253 nucleotides) under uncultured bacterium. RNAcentral describes it as "partial 16S ribosomal RNA". It matches the Rfam family "Bacterial small subunit ribosomal RNA", at positions 524 to 776 of the family's 1533-position model. The record is from RNAcentral.